CAAUAGCGUAUAUUAAAGUUGUUGCAGUUAAAAAGCUCGUAGUUGGAUUUCUGUCAAGGACAAGCGGCCCGCUUCUUUGGAGUGUGUGCUCGCGUCGUUUUUGACAUUUUUCUGUUCCAGACCUGCUUUUCUUUAACUGGAAAAGUAGUAGGGGCAGGACAUUUACUUUGAGAAAAUUAGAGUGUUCUAAGCAGGCUAGCGCCUUGAAUACUGCAGCAUGGAAUAAUAAGAUAGGAUUUCAGUCCUAUUUUAUUGGUUCUAAGGACUGAAAUAAUGAUUAAUAGGGACAGUUGGGGGCAUUCGUAUUUAACUGUCAGAGGUGAAAUUCUUAGAUUUGUUAAAGACGAACUACUGCGAAAGCAUUUGCCAAGGAUGUUUNCAUUA
This 384-nucleotide ribosomal RNA is filed under the name uncultured eukaryote. RNAcentral describes it as "partial 18S ribosomal RNA". It matches the Rfam family "Eukaryotic small subunit ribosomal RNA", at positions 592 to 975 of the family's 1831-position model. The record is from RNAcentral.